This 1383-nucleotide ribosomal RNA is filed under the name uncultured bacterium. Its description in RNAcentral is "16S ribosomal RNA". It matches the Rfam family "Bacterial small subunit ribosomal RNA". The record is from RNAcentral.
UUCGCCCUUAGAGUUUGAUCCUGGCUCAGGACGAACGCUGGCGGCGCGCCUAACACAUGCAAGUCGAACGAGUGAGAGAGAGCUUGCUUUCUCGAGCGAGUGGCGAACGGGUGAGUAACGCGUGAGGAACCUGCCUCAAAGAGGGGGACAACAGUUGGAAACGACUGCUAAUACCGCAUAAGCCCACGACCCGGCAUCGGGUAGAGGGAAAAGGAGCAAUCCGCUUUGAGAUGGCCUCGCGUCCGAUUAGCUAGUUGGUGAGGUAACGGCCCACCAAGGCAACGAUCGGUAGCCGGACUGAGAGGUUGAACGGCCACAUUGGGACUGAGACACGGCCCAGACUCCUACGGGAGGCAGCAGUGGGGAAUAUUGCACAAUGGGGGAAACCCUGAUGCAGCGACGCCGCGUGGAGGAAGAAGGUCUUCGGAUUGUAAACUCCUGUUGUUGAGGAAGAUAAUGACGGUACUCAACAAGGAAGUGACGGCUAACUACGUGCCAGCAGCCGCGGUAAAACGUAGGUCACAAGCGUUGUCCGGAAUUACUGGGUGUAAAGGGAGCGCAGGCGGGAAGACAAGUUGGAAGUGAAAUCCAUGGGCUCAACCCAUGAACUGCUUUCAAAACUGUUUUUCUUGAGUAGUGCAGAGGUAGGCGGAAUUCCCGGUGUAGCGGUGGAAUGCGUAGAUAUCGGGAGGAACACCAGUGGCGAAGGCGGCCUACUGGGCACCAACUGACGCUGAGGCUCGAAAGUGUGGGUAGCAAACAGGAUUAGAUACCCUGGUAGUCCACACCGUAAACGAUGAUUACUAGGUGUUGGAGGAUUGACCCCUUCAGUGCCGCAGUUAACACAAUAAAUUAAUCCACCUGGGGGAGUACCACCCGCAGGGGUUGAAACUCAAAGGAAUUGACGGGGGCCCGCACAAGCAGUGGAGUAUGUGGUUUAAUUCGACGCAACGCGAAGAACCUUACCAAGUCUUGACAUCCCUUGACGAUGCUGGAAACAGUAUUUCUCUUCGGAGCAAGGAGACAGGUGGUGCAUGGUUGUCGUCAGCUCGUGUCGUGAGAUGUUGGGUUAAGUCCCGCAACGAGCGCAACCCUUAUGGUCAGUUACUACGCAAGAGGACUCUGGCCAGACUGCCGUUGAUAAAACGGAGGAAGGUGGGGAUGACGUCAAAUCAUCAUGCCCUUUAUGACUUGGGCUACACACGUACUACAAUGGCGUUAAACAAAGAGAAGCAAGACCGCGAGGUGGAGCAAAACUCAGAAACAACGUCCCAGUUCGGACUGCAGGCUGCAACUCGCCUGCACGAAGUCGGAAUUGCUAGUAAUCGUGGAUCAGCAUGCCACGGUGAAUACGUUCCCGGGCCUUGCACACACCGCCCGUCA